Long non-coding RNA from Lates calcarifer (barramundi perch), 1320 nucleotides. RefSeq lists it as uncharacterized. Lineage: Eukaryota; Metazoa; Chordata; Actinopteri; Centropomidae. The record is from RefSeq and is a predicted model, not a curated record. The transcript is spliced from 3 exons.
GUGGACAGGUGUGGUUCAUUCCAGCCAAUCAUGGCGUCAGUGCACAGGUGGUGGGAGGCAGCGGGAGACGGACAGUCCGGUGCAUGCUAACGUUUCAGAGCAGAGACGGUGUAAUGUCAGAUAAACAGCCUGAGAGGAAACAGACAGAGGAAUAUAAAUGUAAAAAGAAAGGCUGUGAUCAGGGAGAAGACCCGGGUUAACAUUAGAGCGGGUUUCCAGCGGUGGAGAGACCUCCGGGAGCUGAGAGGCCUGAAAACAGACGCUGCUGUGUUUCUGCUCGACAGGUGUGUUCGAGAUGUCACCAUGGAGCAGAAGCAGCAAUGUUAAAGUCUGUGAGGAUCUACAGGCCCAGGACGAGCCUUCAGAGACCAGAACCAGGUCUACGUCUACAGACCCAGCAGUGGUCUGGAGGAGGGCGUCAGGUCAGGAGCGUGUUCUUCGACGGUGGCAGGUUGUGCACCAUGAGUUGGUCUCCCAGUGUCCAGGCUGAGUCCUGCUGCAGCUCUCUGACCUAAAGACGUGAACUGUGACACCUGCUCCACCACAACACAAUGCACAAACACAACAUGGACCUCAGGCUGCAGUCUGUCUCUGUCUGACACAGAGGAGGAGACCAGUGUCACCGAUGAACCAGGACUUCAGGGAGACCUCCAGACACGACAGGAGCACAGGGAGCGAUGGAUCACUGCACCAGGUCACCAGAGUUAAACCAGGACCAGUAAAGGUUGAUGAAGGACUCAGACUCUCAGCUCCUGAUUGGUAUCGAAGCCGUGGAGCCCAACACAAGCACAACCACACAUACACCACCACCACCGAGGCUGGGGUAUGAAGGUUCACGGCCGCUCAGAAAUCAAAGCUGCUCCUCCGUGAACAGAAACAAAGGAUUAAUAAUGACUGCUUUCCAUAGUCAGAUUUAACUUUCUCUUUUAUUUCUUCACACAGAGGCAUCAAACUAUAAUCAGCUCAUUGUUCCUGUGCUUAAUUUCUCUGUCCUGCUCAGGCCUAACAUGGGCUCCGAGUCUUUGAUCUGUAUUAGCAAAGAGUUAAAUCUGUUUGAUCUCUUUGAUUGGCCUCCAACAUGGCGUCUAGACACUGAGGCCGGCGGCUGAGGAGCUCCCUCCUCUUUGUUUCUGUAGGUCCUGGCUAUGGCAACCUCUGAGGGACACAACACAUUCAGUGACGGUCCACAGAGAAAACCAGAAUCCAGAGUUUAAUUGCUCUGCUAAUUAUUCUGACUGAUCACUUGACCUUCUAAUGUCUGCUACAGAAAAAAAAUAAAGACUGAAUCACUCAGUAAAUAGAGACAUCCUUCAGGAUGGA